AUCUUUUCUGCAAAGAGGUUGAAACCUUGGGAUCAAUUAGACACAGAUUGGCAACCAAGAAGCAAUUCCAGAUUGUGAUUUUGAAAUUUCUUAAUCUUUGAUGUCGUCACUACAUUUGGGUUAAAAGCAUGACACUUCUACAAAUAAAUUAGGAAAAAAGUUGCCCAAGAUAAUGGAAGAAGCCAAAAAAAAAAAUCAAAUGAGAUGCUCUCUCUUUCCUCCGGCCACACCACCAUCUUCUCUAACGAGCCACCACCACCAUCAUUGUAGGCAUAAUGGUCCACAAAUAUCUCUUACCCAAAUGGACUAAUUGUUAUAGUGAAUUUUCAUAAUAAAUCCUCAUCAAACCAUACAAGAAGAUGAAAAAUUUUGUAUCAUGAAUUGGAACAAAAUUGAGAAUUUGGCCGGAGCUUUCCCGACGUUCAAAACAAUUAUUCUAGUCUCUCUCUCUCCCUCUCUUCGUAUUCUCGCCCCUUUCUUGCUUUCAUCGCCGACUGUGGCGCGGUUGGUGUAGGUGUGGGGACGCUGUGGGAUGGUGGUGAUGGUGUUGCCGUUGUGGAACUUGUUGGGUAACUGAGUCAACUUAACAAAUUUGGGUUUGUGAUGCGGCUUUGAUGACACACUGAGUCAACUCAAUAAAAGGGUAGAAUAGAAAGAUAAAAGGGCAAAUUAGGAUUUUUAAAUUUAUUUUAUGUCAAUUUUGAUCAAAAAGUGGUAAGAGGGACUAGGUCGGCACUUUUUUUUUUGAAUUUUGUAGACUUGCAUGUAUAUUUUUAAAAAAUAGGGACUAAUUUUACACAAAACCUAUAUAUCAGAGUUUUUUUUGCACUUAACCUUUUAAUCUCUUAAAACAGUAUAAUUUUUAAGUCAUUUUAUCCAUCUAUAAUAAUUGAAGUCAAGAUAUACUAAAAAAUUUACUUAUCAAAAGAACAUUACAACCCAUAUAAAGUUACAUUUUUUAAGCUCCAUCUAUAAAUGUUUUAAGCUUCAUUUUUUGAAAUUCCACUUAUAAUUUAUAUGCCAAAAUUGGAUAUAAUUAAUCUCCACAUAGGUCCGCAUGGACUAGGGUUUAGAAACUGAGUCAAGCAUCUUUGCGCUUGGGGCAACACAUUUCUCGAGAUGAGAGACAUUUCCGGAGCGAGGGACAAGCAAAGGGACGAUUAGGGUUUUGGAGGGUUUUGCACAUCUUUUCAUCACACGUGGAUAGUUUGAGAGAGGAAGCGGAGGACUAGGGUUUAAUUUUUCUGUAUUCGUUAAUUGAUGAGCAGUGACUAUACGAAAAACAAGUGAAGCGGGACAACACCCAUGAACCAUCUACAAGGUAUUUUUCAUAUCUAAACUUCUAGGGUUAGGGAUUUGUUUCACCUUUUUCUCAAUCCUUCUCCCGAGUCAGGUUAGGGUUAGGGAUUUCGUCAUUCCACUCUUUAUUUUCGCUUUGAUCCGUUUGAUUAUUUAUUUUAUUGGAGAAAUUUUGAUUGUGAUUUGUGGAUAUGCAUGCCAUAGGUAGUAGUGAUUGGAAUAUGGCAGGUACUUUAUGUGUUAUUAAUUAGUGAACAUGGUCAACUAAAACUAAAGCAUAUUGUAUUGAAAAUUCAUGAGCCUGACGAGAUCCAUCUGGGUUUAUUGUUUCCAAUUUAACGUAGUAGGUGCAUUUUAGUUAUGUGUAACUUUUUAAAUUGAUGAUGAUGGUGAGCUCAUGACUUCCAUGAUCCGUCCAAUCUGUAGUAGAUACAUGCAAGUGCAUGUCUAGCCUUCCAUGGCUUCCAAAAGCUUUCGAUUUUGUGUGUAAUGGCAUUUUAUUUAGAGAAUAAGUACUUAACAAAAGUUUCUUAAAAAAUUAAUACAAUGAAAUCCAUAUUCAAUCAUAAAGAAUAAUCCAAUAUCAUAAACCAAGAAUUUUUGGUAAUACAUAACCUUUAGUUCAAGAGGAAGUCUGACUGUCACGGAAGCUAAGAGGUAGGAUAAACCACAAUAACUGAAGGAUAAAUGAAGGCUUUCCUUUCCGUGUUGGAAAAGAAAAGGGAGUCAAUUCCGAGGUGGAUGCUACGACCGAUGUAACAUCUAUAAAUAAGGGGCCGGUACGUCGACCUACCAAGGUACAAGACAAUUCCGUACUCAACUGUUUUUUCUUCUUCUUAUUUAUUGUCAAGAACUAACUUGAACGUCGGAGACCCUUAGGCCGGUACCGCACCAGUGCCCCUGCGAUUACUUUCUCUUCUUUUUCAGAUAUGACACUGUUCCAGAUCGCUGCGAAUUCAUUCAUCAACAUUUGAUGAAUUAGUGGAGAAGAAAGAGCCCAAGUGAUUGAAGGAAGAAGCCCAAGUGUACUAUAAACUAAUUUCUUGGCGCCUCUGAAGCGUUGUAAGUUAGAUUUGGGAGGUUAUCAUGUAGAAGAGACUUCUAAAUAUAAAGGGUACAAAGUUGUGAUCAAUUCACCGUCUUCAGUUUCUUACUCUCUGGGAAGACUACUUGCCUUGCUA
This is a long non-coding RNA of Cornus florida, 2480 nucleotides long. RefSeq lists it as uncharacterized. The transcript is spliced from 4 exons. The record is from RefSeq and is a predicted model, not a curated record. NCBI's taxonomy places the organism in Eukaryota, Viridiplantae, Streptophyta, Magnoliopsida, Cornales, Cornaceae.